UGAGUGAAGUAACCCAAUCACAAAGGAA
This 28-nucleotide non-coding RNA is filed under the name Mus musculus (house mouse). Lineage: Eukaryota; Metazoa; Chordata; Mammalia; Rodentia; Muridae. The record is from RNAcentral.